UGGAGAGUUUGAUCCUGGCUCAGGACGAACGCUGGCGGCGUGCUUAACACAUGCAAGUCGAGCGGAAAGGCCCUUUCGGGGGUACUCGAGCGGCGAACGGGUGAGUAACACGUGAGUAAUCUGCCCUUCACUUGGGGAUAACUACCGGAAACGGUGGCUAAUACCCGAUACGACCAACCUGCGCAUGUGGUGUUGGUGGAAAGUUUUUUCGGUGGAGGAUGUGCUCGCGGCCUAUCAGCUUGUUGGUGGGGUAAUGGCCUACCAAGGCUUCGACGGGUAGCCGGCCUGAGAGGGUGACCGGCCACACUGGGACUGAGACACGGCCCAGACUCCUACGGGAGGCAGCAGUGGGGAAUAUUGGACAAUGGGCGGAAGCCUGAUCCAGCAACGCCGCGUGAGGGAUGACGGCCUUCGGGUUGUAAACCUCUUUCAGUACCGACGAAGCGCAAGUGACGGUAGGUACAGAAGAAGCACCGGCCAACUACGUGCCAGCAGCCGCGGUA
This 503-nucleotide ribosomal RNA is filed under the name Nocardioides sp. A19. RNAcentral describes it as "bacterial SSU rRNA". It matches the Rfam family "Bacterial small subunit ribosomal RNA", at positions 1 to 522 of the family's 1533-position model. The record is from RNAcentral. Lineage: Bacteria; Bacillati; Actinomycetota; Actinomycetes; Propionibacteriales; Nocardioidaceae.